UACGAGGGAUGCAAGCGUUAUCCGGAAUUAUUGGGCGUAAAGCGUUUGUAGGCGGGCGAGUGUGUUUAAUGUUAAAUCUUAAAGCUCAACUUUGAAAUUGCGUUAAAAACUGCUUGUCUUGAGUAUGGUAGGGGUAAAGGGAAUUCCCAGUGUAGCGGUGAAAUGCGUAGAUAUUGGGAAGAACACUAAACAGCGAAGGCACUUUACUAGGCUAAUACUGACGCUGAGAAACGAAAGGUAAGGUAGCGAAACGGAUUAGAUACCCGUGUAGUCUUACCCGUAAACUACGGACACUAAACGGUAAAUUUUUAAUUUACUGUUAAAGCUAACGCGUUAAGUGUCCCGCCUGGGGAGUAUGCUUGCAAAAGUGAAACUCAAAGGAAUUGACGGGGGCCCGCACAAGCGGUGGAGCAUGUGGUUUAAUUCGACGGUACACGAAGAACCUUACCAGGAUUUGACAUGCUAGAUAGUUGCUUGAAAGAGUAACGUGCCGUAAGGAAUCUAGACACAGGUGGUGCAUGGCUGUCGUCAGUUCGUGUUGUGAAAUGUUGGGUUAAGUCCCGCAACGAACGCAACCCUUGUCUUUAGUUAUUUUCUAAAGAGACUGCCUGUAAUAAACAGGAGGAAGGUAAGGAUGAGGUCAAGUCAUCAUGCCCCUUAUGUCCUGGGCUACACACGUGCUACAAUGGGAAAGACAAUGAGCUGCAAAUCUGUAAAUUUAAGCAAAUCUCUUAAACUUUCUCGUAGUUCGGAUUGUGGGCUGCAACUCGCCCACAUGAAGUUGGAAUCGCUAGUAAUCGCCAGUCAGCUAUAUGGCGGCGAAUCCGUUACCCGGGCCU
This 839-nucleotide ribosomal RNA is filed under the name uncultured bacterium. RNAcentral's name for it is "bacterial SSU rRNA". It matches the Rfam family "Bacterial small subunit ribosomal RNA", at positions 524 to 1381 of the family's 1533-position model. The record is from RNAcentral.